This 456-nucleotide ribosomal RNA is filed under the name Campylobacter gracilis. RNAcentral describes it as "bacterial SSU rRNA". It matches the Rfam family "Bacterial small subunit ribosomal RNA", at positions 29 to 499 of the family's 1533-position model. Lineage: Bacteria; Pseudomonadati; Campylobacterota; Epsilonproteobacteria; Campylobacterales; Campylobacteraceae. The record is from RNAcentral.
AGUGAACGCUGGCGGCGUGCUUAAUACAUGCAAGUCGAACGGAAUUUAAAAGAGCUUGCUCUUUUGAAUUUAGUGGCGCACGGGUGAGUAAUAUAUAGCUAAUCUGCCCCUUGCUGGAGGACAACAGUUAGAAAUGACUGCUAAUACUCCAUACUCCUUUUUACCAUAAGAUAAAUCGGGAAAGAAUUUCGGCAAGGGAUGAGACUAUAUCGUAUCAGCUAGUCGGUGGGGUAACGGCCUACCGAGGCUAUGACGCGUAACUGGUCUGAGAGGAUGAUCAGUCACAUUGGAACUGAGACACGGUCCAAACUCCUACGGGAGGCAGCAGUAGGGAAUAUUGCGCAAUGGGGGAAACCCUGACGCAGCAACGCCGCGUGGAGGAUGACACUUUUCGGAGCGUAAACUCCUUUUGUUAGGGAAGAAUAAUGACGGUACCUAACGAAUAAGCACCGGUAA